This 416-nucleotide ribosomal RNA is filed under the name uncultured microorganism. RNAcentral's name for it is "bacterial SSU rRNA". It matches the Rfam family "Bacterial small subunit ribosomal RNA", at positions 9 to 423 of the family's 1533-position model. The record is from RNAcentral.
GAGUUUGAUCCUGGCUCAGAUUGAACGCUGGCGGCAUGCCUUACACAUGCAAGUCGAACGGCAGCAUGAUCUAGCUUGCUAGAUUGAUGGCGAGUGGCGAACGGGUGAGUAAUACAUCGGAACGUGCCCUGUAGUGGGGGAUAACUAGUCGAAAGAUUAGCUAAUACCGCAUACGACCUGAGGGUGAAAGUGGGGGACCGCAAGGCCUCAUGCUAUAGGAGCGGCCGAUGUCUGAUUAGCUAGUUGGUGGGUAAAGGCCCACCAAGGCGACGAUCAGUAGCUGGUCUGAGAGGACGAUCAGCCACACUGGGACUGAGACACGGCCCAGACCCCUACGGGAGGCAGCAGUGGGGAAUUUGGACAAUGGGCGAAAGCCUGAUCCAGCAAUGCCGCGUGUGUGAAGAAGGCCUUCGGUU